RNAcentral lists this microRNA precursor (98 nucleotides) under Equus asinus (donkey). RNAcentral's name for it is "mir-544 microRNA precursor family". It matches the Rfam family "mir-544 microRNA precursor family". Lineage: Eukaryota; Metazoa; Chordata; Mammalia; Perissodactyla; Equidae. RNAcentral also lists the same sequence under 1 other name. The record is from Rfam by way of RNAcentral.
AUCACCUGGGAAUCUUGCUAAAAUGCAGGCUCUGAUUCAGCAGGCUUGGGGUGGGGCCUGAGACUCUGCAUUUCUAGCCAGCUCCCAGGUAAUGCCUA